GAAAUGCGAUAAGUAAUGUGAAUUGCAGAAUUCAGUGAAUCAUCGAAUCUUUGAACGCACCUUGCGCUCCUUGGUAUUCCGAGGAGCAUGCCUGUUUGAGUGUCAUGGAAUUCUCAACUCUAUUUGCUUUUGUGAAUAGAGCUUGGAUUUGGAGGUUUAUUGCUGGUACUUGUGAUCGGCUCCUCUUGAAUGUAUUAGCUCGAACCUUUGCGGAUCAGCUAUCGGUGUGAUAAUUGUCUACGCCGUUGCAGUGAAGCAUAUCAAUGGGCUCGGCUUCCAAUCGUCCUUUACUGGACAAUGACUUUGACCUUUGACCUCAAAUCAGGUAGGAUUACCCGCUGAACUUAAGC
This 350-nucleotide unclassified non-coding RNA is filed under the name plant metagenome. RNAcentral describes it as "partial contains 5.8S ribosomal RNA, internal transcribed spacer 2, and large subunit ribosomal RNA". The stretch from base 1 to 105 matches the Rfam family "5.8S ribosomal RNA", at positions 50 to 154 of the family's 154-position model. The record is from RNAcentral.